AUUGAACGCUGGCGGCGUGCUUAACACAUGCAAGUCGAUCGGUAACAGGUGUAGCAAUACAUGCUGACGAGAGGCGGACGGGUGAGUAAUGCUUGGGAAUCUGCCUAUUAGUGGGGGACAACCCGGGGAAACUCGGGCUAAUACCGCAUACGCUCUACGGAGGAAAGCCGGGGACCGCAAGGCCUGGCGCUAAUAGAUGAGCCCAAGUCGGAUUAGCUAGUUGGUAGGGUAACGGCCUACCAAGGCGACAAUCCGUAGCUGGUCUGAGAGGACGACCAGCCACACCGGAACUGAGACACGGUCCGGACUCCUACGGGAGGCAGCAGUGGGGAAGUAUUGGACAAUGGGGGCAACCCUGAAUCCAGCGACGCCGCGUGGGUGAAGAAGGCCUGCGGGUUGUAAAGCCCUUUCGGUGGGAAGAAAAGUCUCGACCUAAUACGUCGGGACCUUGACGUAA
RNAcentral lists this ribosomal RNA (457 nucleotides) under uncultured bacterium. RNAcentral's name for it is "bacterial SSU rRNA". It matches the Rfam family "Bacterial small subunit ribosomal RNA", at positions 29 to 477 of the family's 1533-position model. The record is from RNAcentral.